This 468-nucleotide ribosomal RNA is filed under the name uncultured bacterium. Its description in RNAcentral is "partial 16S ribosomal RNA". It matches the Rfam family "Bacterial small subunit ribosomal RNA", at positions 28 to 507 of the family's 1533-position model. The record is from RNAcentral.
GAUGAACGCUGGCGGCGUGCUUAACACAUGCAAGUCGAACGGAAAGGCCCAAGCUUGCUUGGGUACUCGAGUGGCGAACGGGUGAGUAACACGUGGGUGAUCUGCCCUGCACUUCGGGAUAAGCCUGGGAAACUGGGUCUAAUACCGGAUAGGACGAUGGUUUGGAUGCCAUUGUGGAAAGUUUUUUCGGUGUGGGAUGAGCUCGCGGCCUAUCAGCUUGUUGGUGGGGUAAUGGCCUACCAAGGCGUCGACGGGUAGCCGGCCUGAGAGGGUGUACGGCCACAUUGGGACUGAGAUACGGCCCAGACUCCUACGGGGGGCAGCAGUGGGGAAUAUUGCACAAUGGGCGCAAGCCUGAUGCAGCGACGCCGCGUGGGGGAUGACGGCCUUCGGGCUGUAAACUCCUUUCGCUAGGGACGAAGCGUUUUUGUGACGGUACCUGGAGAAGAAGCACCGGCUAACUACGUG